GCUUUGCUGUCACUUAUAGAUGGAUCCGCGCCGUAUUAGCUAGUUGGUAAGGUAACGGCUUACCAAGGCAACGAUACGUAGCCGACCUGAGAGGGUGAUCGGCCACACUGGAACUGAGACACGGUCCAGACUCCUACGGGAGGCAGCAGUAGGGAAUCUUCCGCAAUGGGCGAAAGCCUGACGGAGCAACGCCGCGUGAGUGAUGAAGGUCUUCGGAUCGUAAAACUCUGUUAUCAGGGAAGAACAAAUGUGUAAGUAACUGUGCACAUCUUGACGGUACCUGAUCAGAAAGCCACGGCUAACUACGUGCCAGCAGCCGCGGUAAUACGUAGGUGGCAAGCGUUAUCCGGAAUUAUUGGGCGUAAAGCGCGCGUAGGCGGUUUUUUAANUCUGAUGUGAAAGCCCACGGCUCAACCGUGGAGGGUCAUUGGAAACUGGAAAACUUG
This 446-nucleotide ribosomal RNA is filed under the name Staphylococcus sp. 26Lb. Its description in RNAcentral is "bacterial SSU rRNA". It matches the Rfam family "Bacterial small subunit ribosomal RNA", at positions 206 to 644 of the family's 1533-position model. The record is from RNAcentral. Lineage: Bacteria; Bacillati; Bacillota; Bacilli; Caryophanales; Staphylococcaceae.